This 31-nucleotide non-coding RNA is filed under the name Rattus norvegicus (Norway rat). The record is from RNAcentral. Lineage: Eukaryota; Metazoa; Chordata; Mammalia; Rodentia; Muridae.
UAAUCUCUUGGCCUCAAAACCCAAUAUAUUA